CCUACGGGAGGCAGCAGUAAGGAAUAUUGGUCAAUGGAGGCAACUCUGAACCAGCCAUGCCGCGUGCAGGAUGACGGCCCUAUGGGUUGUAAACUGCUUUUAUACAAGAGAAAACCCUGGUACGUGUACCAGGUUGAUAGUAUUGUAAGAAUAAGCAUCGGCUAACUUCGUGCCAGCAGCCGCGGUAAGACGAAGGAUGCAAGCGUUAUCCGGAUUCAUUGGGUUUAAAGGGUGCGUAGGCGGACUGAUAAGUCAGUGGUGAAAUCUCUUUGCUUAACAAAGAAACUGCCAUUGAUACUGUCGGUCUAGAGUAUAGAUGACGUUGGCGGAAUAUGACAUGUAGUGGUGAAAUACUUAGAUAUGUCAUAGAACACCGAUUGCGAAGGCAGCUAACGAAACUAUAACUGACGCUGAGGCACGAAAGUGCGGGGAUCAAACAGGAUUAGAUACCCUGGUAGUCCGCACCGUAAACGAUAGAUUACUCGUUGUUGGCGAUAUGACAGUCAGCGACCAAGCGAAAGCGANAAGUAAUCCACCUGGGGAGUACGCCGNAAACGGUGAAACUNAANAGAGUAGAGAGAGAGAGNGCGAGGACGACGACGAGGGGAGGAGG
RNAcentral lists this ribosomal RNA (613 nucleotides) under uncultured bacterium. RNAcentral's name for it is "bacterial SSU rRNA". It matches the Rfam family "Bacterial small subunit ribosomal RNA", at positions 338 to 950 of the family's 1533-position model. The record is from RNAcentral.